UAGUUGGUAAGGUAACGGCUUACCAAGGCGACGAUCAGUAGCCGACCUGAGAGGGUGAUCGGCCACAUUGGAACUGAGACACGGUCCAAACUCCUACGGGAGGCAGCAGUGGGGAAUAUUGCACAAUGGGCGAAAGCCUGAUGCAGCAACGCCGCGUGAGUGAUGAAGGCCUUCGGGUCGUAAAACUCUGUCCUCAAGGAAGAUAAUGACGGUACUUGAGGAGGAAGCCCCGGCUAACUACGUGCCAGCAGCCGCGGUAAUACGUAGGGGGCUAGCGUUAUCCGGAUUUACUGGGCGUACAGGGUGCGUAGGCGGUCUUUCAAGUCAGGAGGGAAA
This 336-nucleotide ribosomal RNA is filed under the name Clostridioides difficile. Its description in RNAcentral is "bacterial SSU rRNA". It matches the Rfam family "Bacterial small subunit ribosomal RNA", at positions 246 to 599 of the family's 1533-position model. The record is from RNAcentral. Lineage: Bacteria; Bacillati; Bacillota; Clostridia; Peptostreptococcales; Peptostreptococcaceae.